Molecule: unclassified non-coding RNA, 215 nt
Filed under: soil metagenome
Description: partial contains 5.8S ribosomal RNA, internal transcribed spacer 2, and large subunit ribosomal RNA
Source: RNAcentral
AACCAUAGAAACCUGCGGAGUACCUGCGGAAGGAUCAUUACAAGUGACCCCGGUCUAACCACCGGGAUGUUCAUAACCCUUUGUUGUCCGACUCUGUUGCCUCCGGGGCGACCCUGCCUUCGGGCGGGGGCUCCGGGUGGACACUUCAAACUCUUGCGUAACUUUGCAGUCUGAGUAAAUUUAAUUAAUAAAUUAAAACUUUCAACAAUGGAUCU